GACGAACGCUGGCGGCGUGCUUAACACAUGCAAGUCGAACGGAAAGGCCCUGCUUUAGUGUGGUGCUCGAGUGGCGAACGGGUGAGUAACACGUGAGUAACCUGCCCUAGACUUUGGGAUAACUUCAGGAAACUGUGGCUAAUACCGGCUAGGAGCUCCUGCUGCAUGGUGUGGGUUGGAAAUUUUCGGCGGUUGGGGAUGGACUCGCGGCUUAUCAGCUUGUUGGUGGGGUAGUGGCUUACCAAGGCUUUGACGGCUAGCCGGCCUGAGAGGGUGACCGGCCACAUUGGGACUGAGAUAGGGCCCAGACUGCAACGGGAGGCAGCAGUGGGAAAUAGUGCACGAUGGGCGGAAGCCGGAUGCAGCGACGCCGCGUGCGGGAUGACGGCCGUCGGGUUGUAAACCGUUUUCGCCUGUGACGAAGCGAGAGUGACGGUAAUGUGUAAAGAAGCAACGGCUAACUACGUG
RNAcentral lists this ribosomal RNA (468 nucleotides) under uncultured bacterium. RNAcentral describes it as "partial 16S ribosomal RNA". It matches the Rfam family "Bacterial small subunit ribosomal RNA", at positions 28 to 507 of the family's 1533-position model. The record is from RNAcentral.